UGAUCAUGGCUCAGAUUGAACGCUGGCGGUAUGCUUAACACAUGCAAGUCGAACGGAAACGAUGGAAGCUUGCUUCCAGGCGUCGAGUGGCGGACGGGUGAGUAACGCGUAGGAAUCUGCCAGAUAGUGGGGGAUAGCCCGGAGAAAUCCGGAUUAAUACCGCAUAAUCUCCAUGGAGUAAAGAGGGCCUCUAUUUAUAAGCUUUCGCUAUCUGAUGAGCCUGCGUAAGAUUAGCUAGUUGGUGGGGUAAUGGCCUACCAAGGCGACGAUCUUUAGCUGGUCUGAGAGGAUGACCAGCCACACUGGGACUGA
This 312-nucleotide ribosomal RNA is filed under the name uncultured bacterium. RNAcentral describes it as "bacterial SSU rRNA". It matches the Rfam family "Bacterial small subunit ribosomal RNA", at positions 14 to 322 of the family's 1533-position model. The record is from RNAcentral.